CAUUCACGGAGAGUUUGAUCCUGGCUCAGGACGAACGCUGGCGGCGUGCUUAACACAUGCAAGUCGAACGAUGAACCACCUUCGGGUGGGGAUUAGUGGCGAACGGGUGAGUAACACGUGGGCAAUCUGCCCUGCACUCUGGGACAAGCCCUGGAAACGGGGUCUAAUACCGGAUACUGAACCACUUGGGCAUCCAGGCGGUUCGAAAGCUCCGGCGGUGCAGGAUGAGCCCGCGGCCUAUCAGCUUGUUGGUGAGGUAACGGCUCACCAAGGCGACGACGGGUAGCCGGC
RNAcentral lists this ribosomal RNA (291 nucleotides) under Streptomyces sp. SID9913. RNAcentral describes it as "partial 16S ribosomal RNA". It matches the Rfam family "Bacterial small subunit ribosomal RNA", at positions 1 to 291 of the family's 1533-position model. The record is from RNAcentral. Lineage: Bacteria; Bacillati; Actinomycetota; Actinomycetes; Kitasatosporales; Streptomycetaceae.